GAUCCUGGCUCAGGAUAAACGCUAGCGGCAGGCCUAACACAUGCAAGUCGAGGGGCAUCGGAUAGAGUACUUCGGUACUCUUGCCGGCGACCGGCGGACGGGUGCGUAACGCGUAUGCAACCUACCUUCAACAGGGGGAUAAUCCGGAAGAAAUUUGGUCUAAUACCCCAUAAUAUUCCGACAGGCAUCUGUCGGAGGUUGAAAGCUUCGGUGGUUGGAGAUGGGCAUGCGUUGUAUUAGCUAGAUGGUGG
This 251-nucleotide ribosomal RNA is filed under the name uncultured bacterium. RNAcentral describes it as "partial 16S ribosomal RNA". It matches the Rfam family "Bacterial small subunit ribosomal RNA", at positions 15 to 255 of the family's 1533-position model. The record is from RNAcentral.